Molecule: transfer RNA, 70 nt
Rfam family: tRNA
About the family: Transfer RNA (tRNA) molecules are approximately 80 nucleotides in length.
GUUUAAGUAGCUUAUCAAAAGCAUCAGUCUUGUAAGCUGAAGACUAGAGGCUAAACCCCUCUCUUAAACU